GACUCACCAACUUUCUAUAAAUUACAUCAUUAACCUCACUUAAAAGUAAAAAGACUUUUAUAAAAAAGAAAGACAACAAGACCCUGACGAACUUAUUCUUAUUUAGCUGGGGAAGCUAAUUAACAAAAACUUUAAAUCUACCAAGAUACCGACCCAAUCCCUAUUGGAUAAAAAACAAGUUACCGCAGGGAUAACAGCAUCAUUGGGCCCAAGAGACCCUAUCCAAAGCCCUAUAUGUGACCUCGAUGUUGAAUUAAUAACACUACAUUUAGCAAAAGAAAUGCAAGUAGGUCUGUUCGACCUUUAAUAUAUUACAUGAUUUGAGUUCAGACCGGCGCAAGCCAGGUCAGUUUAUAUCUUCUCCCAAUAAGUGCUAGUACGAAAGGACCCCACAAUUAAUUACA
This 404-nucleotide ribosomal RNA is filed under the name Sicarius crustosus. RNAcentral's name for it is "partial 16S ribosomal RNA". The stretch from base 67 to 362 matches the Rfam family "Bacterial large subunit ribosomal RNA", at positions 2074 to 2646 of the family's 2925-position model. Lineage: Eukaryota; Metazoa; Arthropoda; Arachnida; Araneae; Sicariidae. The record is from RNAcentral.